This 435-nucleotide ribosomal RNA is filed under the name uncultured Glomeromycotina. RNAcentral describes it as "SSU rRNA". It matches the Rfam family "Eukaryotic small subunit ribosomal RNA", at positions 569 to 1009 of the family's 1831-position model. The record is from RNAcentral. Lineage: Eukaryota; Fungi; Glomeromycota.
UGCAGCCGCGGUAAUUCCAGCUCCAAUAGCGUAUAUUAAAGUUGCUGCAGUUAAAAAGCUCGUAGUUGAAUUUCGGGAUCAGUACGCUGGUCGUGCCUUUGGUAUGUACUGGUGUCACUGAUUCCUCCCUUCUGAAGAACCGUUAUGCCAUUUAUUUGGUGUGGCGGGGAAUCAGGACUGUUACUUUGAAAAAAUUGAGUGUUUAAAGCAGGCUCGCGCUUGAAUACAUUAGCAUGGAAUAAUGAAAUAGGACGUUUGAUCUUAUUUUGUUGGUUUCUAGGAUCGACGUAAUGAUUAAUAGGGAUAGUUGGGGGCAUUAGUAUUCAACUGUCAGAGGUGAAAUUCUUGGAUUUAUUGAAGACUAACUACUGCGAAAGCAUUUGCCAAGGAUGUUUUCAUUAAUCAAGAACGAAAGUUAGGGGAUCGAAGACGAUC